RNAcentral lists this non-coding RNA (21 nucleotides) under Caenorhabditis elegans. The record is from RNAcentral. Lineage: Eukaryota; Metazoa; Nematoda; Chromadorea; Rhabditida; Rhabditidae.
UAUAUCUGGUUUCUCGAUUUU